RNAcentral lists this ribosomal RNA (490 nucleotides) under uncultured bacterium. RNAcentral describes it as "partial 16S ribosomal RNA". It matches the Rfam family "Bacterial small subunit ribosomal RNA", at positions 30 to 507 of the family's 1533-position model. The record is from RNAcentral.
AUUGAACGCUGGCGGCAGGCCUAACACAUGCAAGUCGAACGGUAACAGGAAGAAGCUUGCUUCUUUGCUGACGAGUGGCGGACGGGUGAGUAAUGUCUGGGAAACUGCCUGAUUGAGGGGGAUAACUACUGGAAACGGUAGCUAAUACCGCAUAACGUCGCAAGACCAAAGAGGGGGACCUUCGGGCCUCUUGCCAUCGGAUGUGCCCAGGUGGGAUUAGCUAGUAGGUAGGGUAACGGCUCACCUAGGCGACGAUCCCUAACUGGUCUGAGAGGAUGACUGGCCAACCUAGAACUGAGACAGGGUCCAGACGCCUACGGGAGGCAGCAGUGGGGAAUAUUGCACAAUGGGGGGAAGCCUGAUGCAGCCAUGCCGCGUGUAUGAAGAAAGCCUUCGGGUUGGAAAGUACUUUCAGCGGGGAGAAAGGGAGUAAAGUUAAUACCUUUGCUGAUUGACGUUAACCGGAGAAGAAGCACCGGCUAACUCCGUG